UACGGAGGGUGCAAGCGUUAUCCGGAUUCACUGGGUUUAAAGGGUGCGUAGGUGGGCAGGUAAGUCAGUGGUGAAAUCUCCGGGCUUAACUCGGAAACUGCCAUUGAUACUAUCUGUCUUGAAUACCGUGGAGGUUAGCGGAAUAUGUCAUGUAGCGGUGAAAUGCUUAGAUAUGACAUAGAACACCAAUUGCGAAGGCAGCUGGCUAGACGAAUAUUGACACUGAUGCACGAAAGCGUGGGGAUCAAACAGG
Molecule: ribosomal RNA, 253 nt
Filed under: uncultured bacterium
Lineage: Bacteria
Description: partial 16S ribosomal RNA
Rfam family: Bacterial small subunit ribosomal RNA
Source: RNAcentral